GGGCCUACGGGGGGCAGCAGUGGGGAAUAUUGCACAAUGGGGGAAACCCUGAUGCAGCGACGCCGCGUGAGUGAAGAAGUAUUUCGGUAUGUAAAGCUCUAUCAGCAGGGAAGAAAUACUGACCUUACGGUCAGCAGACGGUACCUGACUAAGAAGCCCCGGCUAACUACGUGCCAGCAGCCGCGGUAAUACGUAGGGGGCAAGCGUUAUCCGGAUUUACUGGGUGUAAAGGGAGCGUAGACGGCGGAACAAGUCAGAAGUGAAAACCCGGGGCUCAACCCUGGGAGUGCUUUUGAAACUGUUUG
RNAcentral lists this ribosomal RNA (305 nucleotides) under uncultured bacterium. RNAcentral's name for it is "bacterial SSU rRNA". It matches the Rfam family "Bacterial small subunit ribosomal RNA", at positions 335 to 639 of the family's 1533-position model. The record is from RNAcentral.